This 236-nucleotide long non-coding RNA is filed under the name Elaeis guineensis (African oil palm). Its description in RNAcentral is "long non-coding RNA (EGUI_LNC009682)". Lineage: Eukaryota; Viridiplantae; Streptophyta; Magnoliopsida; Arecales; Arecaceae. The record is from RNAcentral.
CCUUAGGAUGUGUCCAGACUAUUGGAUCGUGCCAUCUCAAUGGGUCACCACUGCUUGAUAUGUUUAAGAGCUCCCUCAGCCAUUUGAUCCCGUGAGAAGAUCGCUGGCAGUCAUUCGAUAGUGCAGAAGAAGGCCAUCUGCUCAUGCGCCAUAAUAAAGACCAAGGGACAUUGUUCCCCUGAACCACAUGUAGACCCGAUGCAUAUCGAUCUAUGGAUCAUCUAUGGACCAGCCCC